This 215-nucleotide unclassified non-coding RNA is filed under the name uncultured fungus. RNAcentral's name for it is "sequence contains ITS1, 5.8S rRNA gene". The stretch from base 167 to 215 matches the Rfam family "5.8S ribosomal RNA", at positions 1 to 49 of the family's 154-position model. The record is from RNAcentral. Lineage: Eukaryota; Fungi.
UCUCCGUAGGUGAACCUGCGGAGGGAUCAUUAUUGAAAGUUGUGAGGGCGUAAGCCUGAACUACUUCUCUACCCAUGUUAUCACAUCAAUUGUUGCUUCCCUGAGGAAACUCAGGGGACGCUAUUAAACUUAUUGUCAUUAUUGUCAGUACAAAACAACUUUAUAAAACCAUCAGCAACGGAUCUCUUGGUUCUGGCAUCGAUGAAGAACGCAGC